Molecule: ribosomal RNA, 957 nt
Filed under: Stenotrophomonas sp.
Lineage: Bacteria; Pseudomonadati; Pseudomonadota; Gammaproteobacteria; Lysobacterales; Lysobacteraceae
Description: bacterial SSU rRNA
Rfam family: Bacterial small subunit ribosomal RNA
Source: RNAcentral
CGGAUCGUACUGUUCUCGUUGACACAUGCAGUCGAACGGCAGCACAGGAGAGCUUGCUCUCUGGGUGGCGAGUGGCGGACGGGUGAGGAAUGCAUCGGAAUCUACUCUGUCGUGGGGGAUAACGUAGGGAAACUUACGCUAAUACCGCAUACGACCUACGGGUGAAAGCAGGGGACCUUCGGGCCUUGCGCGAUUGAAUGAGCCGAUGCCCGAUUAGCUAGUUGGCGGGGUAAGAGCCCACCAAGGCGACGAUCGGUAGCUGGUCUGAGAGGAUGAUCAGCCACACUGGAACUGAGACACGGUCCAGACUCCUACGGGAGGCAGCAGUGGGGAAUAUUGGACAAUGGGCGCAAGCCUGAUCCAGCCAUACCGCGUGGGUGAAGAAGGCCUUCGGGUUGUAAAGCCCUUUUGUUGGGAAAGAAAAGCAGCCGGUUAAUACCCGGUUGUUCUGACGGUACCCAGAGAAUAAGCACCGGCUAACUUCGUGCCAGCAGCCGCGGUAAUACGAAGGGUGCAAGCGUUACUCGGAAUUACUGGGCGUAAAGCGUGCGUAGGUGGUUGUUUAAGUCUGUCGUGAAAGCCCUGGGCUCAACCUGGAAAUGGCGAUGGAAACUGGACGACUAGAGUGUGGCAGAGGGUAGUGGAAUUCCUGGUGUAGCAGUGAAAUGCGUAGAGAUCAGGAGGAACAUCCGUGGCGAAGGCGACUGCCUGGGCCAACACUGACACUGAGGCACGAAGAGCGUGCGGAGCAAACAGGAUUAGAUACCCUGGUAGUCCACGCCCUAAACGAUGCGACUGGAAUGUUGGGGGCAAUUUGUCACGCGUAUCGAACCUAACGCGUUAAAUUCGCCGCCUAGGGAGGUACGGUCGCGGGACUGAAACUCAAGGAAUUGGGGGGGGCUCCGCACAAGCGUAGGAUAUGUGUUUUAUUCCGUUGUACGGAAAAAUUUUACUUGG